This 246-nucleotide long non-coding RNA is filed under the name Elaeis guineensis (African oil palm). RNAcentral's name for it is "long non-coding RNA (EGUI_LNC073103)". Lineage: Eukaryota; Viridiplantae; Streptophyta; Magnoliopsida; Arecales; Arecaceae. The record is from RNAcentral.
GUGCGGCAUCUUUCCAAACUCCCCCGACCAUCCGAGCUUCAACGGUACCCUCCGGACUUCUCCAAUAAUGAGCUCCUUCAGUUGUCUAUCGGACUGCUCCAAAUGCUCUCUGGGCUUCACUAUCAGUCGAUUUUCUAUAGUGAUCGACUACUCUUCGAAUCUCUUCCAGACUUCCUCCUAUCACGAUCAACUUUACUACGAGUUUCUUUCGGGCUUCGUCAAUGUCCGAGCUUCUCUAGCAGCAGG